This 859-nucleotide ribosomal RNA is filed under the name Psychrobacter nivimaris. Its description in RNAcentral is "bacterial SSU rRNA". It matches the Rfam family "Bacterial small subunit ribosomal RNA", at positions 582 to 1440 of the family's 1533-position model. Lineage: Bacteria; Pseudomonadati; Pseudomonadota; Gammaproteobacteria; Moraxellales; Moraxellaceae. The record is from RNAcentral.
GAUAAGUCAGAUGUGAAAUCCCCGGGCUUAACCUGGGAACUGCAUCUGAAACUGUUAGGCUAGAGUAGGUGAGANGGAAGUAGAAUUUCAGNUGUAGCGGUGAAAUGCGUAGAGAUCUGAAGGAAUACCGAUGGCGAAGGCAGCUUCCUGGCAUCAUACUGACACUGAGGCUCGAAAGCGUGGGUAGCAAACAGGAUUAGAUACCCUGGUAGUCCACGCCGUAAACGAUGUCUACUAGUCGUUGGGUCCCUUGAGGACUUAGUGACGCAGCUAACGCAAUAAGUAGACCGCCUGGGGAGUACGGCCGCAAGGUUAAAACUCAAAUGAAUUGACGGGGGCCCGCACAAGCGGUGGAGCAUGUGGUUUAAUUCGAUGCAACGCGAAGAACCUUACCUGGUCUUGACAUAUCUAGAAUCCUGCAGAGAUGCGGGAGUGCCUUCGGGAAUUAGAAUACAGGUGCUGCAUGGCUGUCGUCAGCUCGUGUCGUGAGAUGUUGGGUUAAGUCCCGCAACGAGCGCAACCCUUGUCCUUAGUUACCAGCGGGUUAAGCCGGGAACUCUAAGGAUACUGCCAGUGACAAACUGGAGGAAGGCGGGGACGACGUCAAGUCAUCAUGGCCCUUACGACCAGGGCUACACACGUGCUACAAUGGUAGGUACAGAGGGCAGCUACACAGCGAUGUGAUGCGAAUCUCAAAAAGCCUAUCGUAGUCCAGAUUGGAGUCUGCAACUCGACUCCAUGAAGUAGGAAUCGCUAGUAAUCGCGGAUCAGAAUGCCGCGGUGAAUACGUUCCCGGGCCUUGUACACACCGCCCGUCACACCAUGGGAGUUGAUUGCACCAGAAGUGGAUAGCUUNNCC